Molecule: ribosomal RNA, 131 nt
Filed under: Bacillus sp. R-33525
Lineage: Bacteria; Bacillati; Bacillota; Bacilli; Caryophanales; Bacillaceae
Description: partial 16S ribosomal RNA
Rfam family: Bacterial small subunit ribosomal RNA
Source: RNAcentral
ACCGACGGGAGCUUGCUCCCUUAGGUCAGCGGCGGACGGGUGAGUAACACGUGGGUAACCUGCCUGUAAGACUGGGAUAACUCCGGGAAACCGGGGCUAAUACCGGAUGCUUGAUUGAACCGCAUGGUUCA